CGAAGGGGGCUAGCGUUGUUCGGAAUUACUGGGCGUAAAGCGCACGUAGGCGGAUAUUUAAGUCAGGGGUGAAAUCCCGGGGCUCAACCCCGGAACUGCCUUUGAUACUGGGUAUCUCGAGUCCGAGAGAGGUGAGUGGAAUUCCGAGUGUAGAGGUGAAAUUCGUAGAUAUUCGGAGGAACACCAGUGGCGAAGGCGGCUCACUGGCUCGGUACUGACGCUGAGGUGCGGAAGCGUGGGGAGCAAACAGGAUUAGAUACCCUGGUAGUCCACGCCGUAAACGAUGGAAGCUAGCCGUUGGCAAGUUUACUUGUCGGUGGCGCAGCUAACGCAUUAAGCUUCCCGCCUGGGGAGUACGGUCGCAAGAUUA
This 370-nucleotide ribosomal RNA is filed under the name uncultured organism. RNAcentral's name for it is "bacterial SSU rRNA". It matches the Rfam family "Bacterial small subunit ribosomal RNA", at positions 526 to 896 of the family's 1533-position model. The record is from RNAcentral.